AGCAGCCGCGGUAAUUCCAGCUCCAAUAGCGUAUAUUAAAGUUGUUGCAGUUAAAAAGCUCGUAGUUGAAUUUCGGGAUUGACACAUCGGUCGUGCCUUAAGGGGUAUGAACUGGUGUAGUCAAUUUCUCACCUUCUGGAGAACCGCGAUGCCCUUAAUUGGGUGUCGCGGGGAACCAGGACCUUUACUUUGAAAAAUUAGAGUGUUUAAAGCAGGCAUUUUGCUUGAAUACAUUAGCAUGGAAUAAUAAAAUAGGACGGCAUGAUUCUAUUUUGUUGGUUUCUAGGAUCACCGUAAUGAUUAAUAGGGAUAGUUGGGGGCAUUAGUAUUCAAUUGUCAGAGGUGAAAUUCUUGGAUUUAUUGAAGACUAACUA
Molecule: ribosomal RNA, 374 nt
Filed under: uncultured Glomeromycotina
Lineage: Eukaryota; Fungi; Glomeromycota
Description: SSU rRNA
Rfam family: Eukaryotic small subunit ribosomal RNA
Source: RNAcentral